UACGUAGGGGGCCAGCGUUGCUCGGACUUACUGGGCGUAAAGGGUUCGUAGGCUGUGCUGUAAGUCAGGCGUGAAAUCCCCGGGCUCAACCUGGGAAUUGCGCAUGAUACUGCGGCGCUUGAAGACGGGAGAGGAUGGCGGAAUUCCCAGUGUAGAGGUGAAAUUCGUAGAUAUUGGGAAGAACAGCGGUGGCGAAGGCGGCCAUCUGGCCCGUAAUUGACGCUGAGGCGCGAAAGCGUGGGGAGCAAACAGG
Molecule: ribosomal RNA, 253 nt
Filed under: uncultured bacterium
Lineage: Bacteria
Description: partial 16S ribosomal RNA
Rfam family: Bacterial small subunit ribosomal RNA
Source: RNAcentral